This 1023-nucleotide long non-coding RNA is filed under the name Apteryx rowi (Okarito brown kiwi). RNAcentral describes it as "lncRNA (ENSARWG00000012517.1)". Lineage: Eukaryota; Metazoa; Chordata; Aves; Apterygiformes; Apterygidae. The record is from RNAcentral.
CCUUCUAAGAGUUUCUUCUUUGGGUCUUGAUUUUUUAGGUAGCUCCUGGCUUAGCCUGCCUGUUCCCCAUUCUUCUGAAACGGAGCAGAGCCCUGAAAAACACAUCUCUUCUUCUGAACCCAUCCUGGACCUCAAGACAGACAUGGCAGCAGCACUUCCAGUCAACAGCACCCCAGAGGCCCCUGGGGAGCCAAAGCAAUGCCAAGAGAYGAAGCAGGACUCGGCCGGCCUGAGCAGUGGGUACGACUUUGCAACCACUGACACAAGCAAGCCUGGCCCAGCUCUGGCCACGGGUGAGAAACUCCCAAGCACAGGUCCACCAUCGGAGGGGGAGGAUCCCAGCCCCGCAGACUCCUUGCCGUGGCCAGAGGCCCCUGAGGAAUUCYCACCCUGUCCCAACACCCUGAAUUUGUCCAAGUCCUUCAAGAAGCUGGAGGAAGUGAAGCASAUGGGGCAGAGAAGUAACAGUGAUGAUUCAAACGUCAAGGAGAAUGGGGUCGGAGGUGGACCCGAGGCAGCAGCCAUGAGCGAGGAGAGGAAGGCACUGGCGUCUGAGCUGGGGAAGUGCAUUGAGGACUUCCGGAAGAUCAAAAUCCCUGCUGCCUUUCCCAACAAGAAGCGUCAGUGGCAAAGUGAGCUGCUGAAAAAAUACCACCUGUGAGAGGACAGGUUGGGACUGAGGCCUCCACUGAGGGGAGGAUGGCCUCCCACAGGAGUGGGGGUGGUAAUCUGAGUUUUUCCACUGAAGUCCCCUGGGCAGUGGGUGACAGAGGCUACCCCAUGCACCUGAAAUGAAGAGUGUGUGUGUAGGUUACUGUUCAGCCCAUCCAACAACCAGAAGGGCUGCAGGCCUAUGGCCAUGACAGCAUGCUUCUUACUAUGGCAAUGGGGAGAGUGGGGGGAUGCAUGAUGUGUUAAGUGGCUUAAACACAGAUGGAGAGGUUAGAAAAAGGAAGGGUCCCAGGAUGAAUCUUCAGGGCCAAACCUACCAUCCAGCAGAAUUUCCCACAUUCAUGAGAACGA